This 271-nucleotide ribosomal RNA is filed under the name uncultured bacterium. Its description in RNAcentral is "partial 16S ribosomal RNA". It matches the Rfam family "Bacterial small subunit ribosomal RNA", at positions 524 to 794 of the family's 1533-position model. The record is from RNAcentral.
GACGUAGGGAGCAAGCGUUGUCCGGAAUUACUGGGCGUAAAGAGCUCGUAGGCGGGAUCGUAAGUCUUAGAGUAAAUCUCACGGCUCAACCGUGGGGCCUUCUGAGAUACUGCGAUUCUUGAGGAUGUCAGAGGAAAGUGGAAUUCCCGGUGUAGCGGUGAAAUGCGUAGAUAUAGGAAGGAACACCAGUGGCGAAGGCGGCAUCCUGGACCGGUAUUGACGCUGAGGCGCGAAAGCCAGGGGAGCAAACGGGAUUAGAAACCCUGGUAGU